This 73-nucleotide transfer RNA is filed under the name Felis catus (domestic cat). It matches the Rfam family "tRNA". From Rfam's summary of the family: Transfer RNA (tRNA) molecules are approximately 80 nucleotides in length. Their secondary structure includes four short double-helical elements and three loops (D, anti-codon, and T loops). Further hydrogen bonds mediate the characteristic L-shaped molecular structure. tRNAs have two regions of fundamental functional importance: the anti-codon, which is responsible for specific mRNA codon recognition, and the 3' end, to which the tRNAs corresponding amino acid is attached (by aminoacyl-tRNA synthetases). tRNAs cope with the degeneracy of the genetic code in two manners: having more than one tRNA (with a specific anti-codon) for a particular amino acid; and 'wobble' base-pairing, i.e. permitting non-standard base-pairing at the 3rd anti-codon position. The record is from Rfam by way of RNAcentral. Lineage: Eukaryota; Metazoa; Chordata; Mammalia; Carnivora; Felidae.
GCCUGGCUGGCUCAGUCAGUGGAGCAUGAGACUCUUGAUCUUGGGGUUGUGGGUUCGAGUCCCACAUUGGGGA